RNAcentral lists this unclassified non-coding RNA (240 nucleotides) under soil metagenome. RNAcentral describes it as "partial contains 5.8S ribosomal RNA, internal transcribed spacer 2, and large subunit ribosomal RNA". The record is from RNAcentral.
AACAUCGCGCACCUGCGGGAACCUGCGGAAGGAUCAUUACAGAGUUGCAAAACUCCCUAAACCAUUGUGAACGUUACCUAAACCGUUGCUUCGGCGGGCGGCUCGGGUCCUUCCCGGCGCCCCUCGGCCCUCGCGGGCGCCCGCCGGAGGUAAACCAAACUAUUGCAUUGUAUGGCCUCUCUGAGUCUUCUGUACUGAAUAAGUCAAAACUUUCAACAACGGAUCUCAGAUCGGAAGAGC